This 467-nucleotide ribosomal RNA is filed under the name uncultured bacterium. Its description in RNAcentral is "partial 16S ribosomal RNA". It matches the Rfam family "Bacterial small subunit ribosomal RNA", at positions 28 to 507 of the family's 1533-position model. The record is from RNAcentral.
GAUGAACGCUGGCGGCGUGCUUAACACAUGCAAGUCGAACGGUGAAGCAGAUCUUGCUCUGUGGAUCAGUGGCGAACGGGUGAGUAACACGUGAGCAACCUGCCCCUGACUCUGGGAUAAGCGCUGGAAACGGCGUCUAAUACUGGCUAUGAGCUGCGACCGCAUGGUCAGCAGUUGGAAAGAUUUUUCGGUCUGGGAUGGGCUCACGGCCUAUCAGCUUGUUGGUGAGGUAAUGGCUCACCAAGGCGGAGACGGGUAGGCGGCCUGGGGGGGUGAACGGGCACAAGGGGACUGAGGAAAGGACCAGGCUGCUAAGGGAGGCAGCAGUGGGGAAUAUUGCACAAUGGGCGAAAGCCUGAUGCAGCAACGCCGCGUGAGGGAUGAAGGCCUUCGGGUUGUAAACCUCUUGUAGCAGGGAAGAAGCGAAAGUGACGGUACCUGCAGAAAAAGCGCCGGCUAACUACGUG